CUACGGGGGGCUGCAGUGAGGAAUCUUGCGCAAUGGGGGAAACCCUGACGCAGCAACGCCGCGUGAGUGAAGAAGGCUUUCGGGUCGUAAAGCUCUGUCAGGUGGGAAGAAAUACUUGACGCUAAUAUCGUCAGGGGCUGACGGUACCACCAAAGGAAGCACCGGCUAACUCCGUGCCAGCAGCCGCGGUAAUACGGAGGGUGCAAGCGUUGUUCGGAAUUACUGGGCGUAAAGAGCGUGUAGGCGGUCGAUUAAGUCAGGUGUGAAAGCCCUUGGCUCAACCAAGGAAGUGCAUCUGAAACUAGUCGACUUGAGUACGGGAGAGGAGAGUGGAAUUCCUGGUGUAGAGGUGAAAUUCGUAGAUAUCAGGAGGAACAUCGGUGGCGAAGGCGACUCUCUGGACCGAUACUGACACUGAGACGCGAAAGCGUGGGGAGCAAACAGGAUUAGAUACCCGGGUAGUC
RNAcentral lists this ribosomal RNA (464 nucleotides) under uncultured bacterium. RNAcentral's name for it is "partial 16S ribosomal RNA". It matches the Rfam family "Bacterial small subunit ribosomal RNA", at positions 339 to 795 of the family's 1533-position model. The record is from RNAcentral.